GGUUGGUUGACUGAGUGGUUUAAAGUGUAAUAUUUGAGCUAUUAUUAAUUGAUAAAAUUACGUAGGUUCGAAUCCUACACCAUCCG
Molecule: transfer RNA, 86 nt
Filed under: Maudiozyma exigua
Lineage: Eukaryota; Fungi; Ascomycota; Saccharomycetes; Saccharomycetales; Saccharomycetaceae
Also listed under: 1 other name
Description: tRNA-Ser
Rfam family: tRNA
About the family: Transfer RNA (tRNA) molecules are approximately 80 nucleotides in length.
Source: RNAcentral